This 209-nucleotide ribosomal RNA is filed under the name uncultured euryarchaeote. RNAcentral describes it as "partial 16S ribosomal RNA". It matches the Rfam family "Archaeal small subunit ribosomal RNA", at positions 518 to 726 of the family's 1478-position model. The record is from RNAcentral. Lineage: Archaea; Methanobacteriati; Methanobacteriota.
UCCGUAGCCGGGUUGUUAAGUCUCCUGGGAAAUCCAACGGCUCAACCGUUGGGCGUUCAGGGGAUACUGGCAAUCUAGGGAUCGGGGGAGGUGAGAGGUACUCUAGGGGUAGGAGUGAAAUCCUGUAAUCCUUGGGGGACCACCUGUGGCGAAGGCGUCUCACCAGAACGACUCCGACGGUGAGGGACGAAAGCUGGGGGAGCAAACCG